GCUGGGCGUGGUGGCGGGCGCCUGUAAUCCCAGCUACUGGGAGGCUGAGGCAGGAGAAUGGCGUGAACCCAGGAGGCGGAGCUUGCAGUGAGCCGAGAUCGCGCCACUGCACUCCAGCCUGGGCAACAGAGCAAGACUCUGUCUCAA
RNAcentral lists this non-coding RNA (147 nucleotides) under Gorilla gorilla gorilla (western lowland gorilla). The record is from Rfam by way of RNAcentral. Lineage: Eukaryota; Metazoa; Chordata; Mammalia; Primates; Hominidae.